Molecule: long non-coding RNA, 1240 nt
Organism: Capsella rubella
Lineage: Eukaryota; Viridiplantae; Streptophyta; Magnoliopsida; Brassicales; Brassicaceae
Exons: 5
Source: RefSeq, a predicted model, not a curated record
GAAACUAUACUUUUUAAAAAUAGCCGGAGACGACCAGUCUUUCUUCCCUCCGGCGAUUUUUCUGAGAUUAUCAGAGAGAGAUAUGUUAAUCUAUUAUUCUUUGACAGUCGUCGAGAUGGAAGCGUUUCUGAAAGAAUUCGGAAAUUAUUAUGGAUACCCAUGGUCCCAAGAACAUCAAUGAGACACCGAAUUCAAGAGAUUACUAGAUAAAGGUGUUGCUUACUUGGAUCAUGCUGGUUCCACUUUGUAUUCUGAGUUGCAGAUGGCUAAUAUUUUUUUUAAGGAAUUUACAAGCAAUGUUUUUGGAAAUCCACGUAUCCUUGUAUUAUCAACCUCAUAAGACAUUUAUCUUUUUACUACAGUAGAUAAGCAGGCAGAUGUAUUUAGGGCCUGAAUCUCUUUUUUUUUAAAUAAUUCCUGUGCUAAGUUAAUGACUUGGAAUAUGUGAAACUUUGAUGUUGUUUGGUGAAAAGAACGUAGCUAAUCUCUUUCUGUACUAUCUGUUUUGUAUGGAUGAUAUAAUGCCUUUUUCCUUUCUUUUUGUGAGCUAUGUUAUUGAAAGAGGUUCCUUAAUAGUGAUUUAGAUAGUCAAAGUCUGUGACCAGUGACCUUAUCGCGGAUGCUCCGCAUCAGGAUGACUCUGAAACCUUAGCAAUAAUCAAGGAACUCUUAGAAACGCGCAUCAGACCGGCAGUCCAAGAUGAUGGUGGGGACAUUGAGUAUUGUGGGUUUGACCCGGACAGUGGUAUAGUGCAGCUGAGGAUGCAAGGAGCUUGGAGCGGUCAUCCAAGCUCAUCUGUUACUUUGAAAUCUGGAAUCGAAAAUAUGCUGAUGCAUUAUGUAUCCGAGGUUAAAGGUGUAGAACAAGAGUUUGAUGGGGAAGAUGAAGAGGGAGCGUUGUCUGGAGAGAUGAGAGUGGAAUAAGAUAUCUCCUCAAGCAUAUCCUCUAUGCUCUGCUAGUGUACAGAAGAAUAAAUCCUAGUGACUAGUGAGUACACUUUGUUCUUCAACCCUUGUGUUUUUGGGCUUUUUGAAUCACACUCGAGAGAAUCUACUGAGAGAUCAGGGUUGAUUUGUUAUGUAACUUUUGUUGACCUACUGGGAUAAAUUGAUCUGAUUAUUUCGAGUUUUUCCAAGGAAUAAUGUACUAGAGGAGUAUUAUAGCGAUCAAUUUAUUAGUCCUGUAAGAUUGAGUCUCCAGUCUUUAUAACAUAUUUUUUGGACAAGCCCUUUUCUAUAA